This 684-nucleotide ribosomal RNA is filed under the name uncultured Fusobacteriota bacterium. Its description in RNAcentral is "bacterial SSU rRNA". It matches the Rfam family "Bacterial small subunit ribosomal RNA", at positions 8 to 718 of the family's 1533-position model. Lineage: Bacteria; Fusobacteriati; Fusobacteriota. The record is from RNAcentral.
AGGGUUUGAUCCUGGCUCAGGAUGAACGCUGACAGAAUGCUUAACACAUGCAAGUCUACUUGAACUUCGGUUUGGGUGGCGGACGGGUGAGUAACGCGUAAAGAACUUGCCUCACAGCUAGGGACAACAUUUGGAAACGAAUGCUAAUACCUGAUAUUAUGAUUUUAGGGCAUCCUAAGAUUAUGAAAGCUAUAUGCACUGCGAGAGAGCUUUGCGUCCCAUUAGCUAGUUGGAAAGGUAACGGCUCACCAAGGCGAUGAUGGGUAGCCGGCCUGAGAGGGUGAACGGCCACAAGGGGACUGAGACACGGCCCUUACUCCUACGGGAGGCAGCAGUGGGGAAUAUUGGACAAUGGACCAAGAGUCUGAUCCAGCAAUUCUGUGUGCACGAUGACGUUUUUCGGAAUGUAAAGUGCUUUCAGUUGGGAAGAAAAAAAUGACGGUACCAACAGAAGAAGUGACGGCUAAAUACGUGCCAGCAGCCGCGGUAAUACGUAUGUCACAAGCGUUAUCCGGAUUUAUUGGGCGUAAAGCGCGUCUAGGUGGUUAUGUAAGUCUGAUGUGAAAAUGCAGGGCUCAACUCUGUAUUGCGUUGGAAACUGUGUAACUAGAGUACUGGAGAGGUAAGCGAAACUACAAGUGUAGAGGUGGAANUCGUAGAUAUUUGUAGGAAUGCCGAUGGGGA